Long non-coding RNA from Pleuronectes platessa (European plaice), 1393 nucleotides. RefSeq lists it as uncharacterized. NCBI's taxonomy places the organism in Eukaryota, Metazoa, Chordata, Actinopteri, Pleuronectiformes, Pleuronectidae. The transcript has 2 exons. The record is from RefSeq and is a predicted model, not a curated record.
UCCACCAAGGCCCAACAGUUCCCUUAAAUCUAAUCAAGCAGCACCAAAUUUCCCAAUUUAUUUUGUUUUGAGAUAUAAGAACACAUGGCAAGACAAAUGCAUUUGUGGUCUUUUUAUCAUCUGCAGAACACUGUGUUGUUGGUUGAUGUUGGCGUGUGGGCUUGUAUCUUAAAAGAGAAUAAAGACAAAGAUUCUUCCUUGGAGAAAUCAACUGUCAGUAAGUGUCUGUGCUUCCAGACAAGUAUGAAGCAAGAGAGAAAAUACCAGAACCUUCAACUAUUACUACCUGUCAUUUAAAACAAGGUGACCUCUUAUUGUAUAUUUCUAUUCCAAUUACUUUCAACAUUCUAUUGCCAGCCAACAGUUUGUGAUAGAGUUUGUCAAUCAAAAAUUUAGCAAAUAAAAUAUAGCUUUUUUUUUUUUAAAGUUUUGUCUAAUGCAUGAAUGUAAUAUCCCAGACGGAUCUGAUAUGACAAUAUUGAUAAUACUUAGCUUUUUAAUUUACGACAUGAUAAAUAUGCAAAUGUAGCCGAACAGUGAGAAGUUUUAGUCCCAUUUUAUUUAAUGCUUAAAGCAGAUGACUAAUCCUUUUUCCUCAUAAUAUGUUUAUGAACACGUGUGUGCCUGUCCCCAUUUCUCUGGAACAUUUCAUCACACUGAUCCUGUUACUAUGAUAAGAAAACCGGUUGUAAACUUUUUAUUUUUGCCACACCCAAAUCCUGACCUGUGUGUAUCACAAAGUGUUUGCAUACAAAUAUGAGCUCUAGGUCCUCGUACAGAUCACUGGGUUUCCUUAUUCCAUGCAGCCAGAGGACAGGAGCUCCGAACCCUCAGUUUCCUUCCAGAAAAGAUCCUUCAUUACUUCUUUAGGACGAGAGCUCACUGUAAACAUGGUUGAUAGAAGCAUUGCACUGGAGGCUCUGGGAGCACUCUGCACUGGCAACGUGACGUCUGUCCAGCAACAAGCAUCACCAGCUGGUUUGUCCAGAAGGAACCUUCAAGUGGGACCACGGCAGAAUCUGUCCAUCAAGCUUCUCAUCCCGACUGUCAUUGAUGGAGAUGAACACUCGUGGAGUCCAGAAGACAAGAAGGAAAACAACGCUCAUCAACCUCUCCUUCUGAUCCACAUCCUCCUGAACACGUGGACCUGCUGGCCUCUGCAGUAAACUGGACUCAUCAGGUUUCUGUCUCCAGAAACUGAUGAUGAUCCAGUUAAGACGACAACAGAGUUUUGAAUCAAUGAAAUCUUUACUGAAUUCUGAGUAUUAUGUUUUAAAUUAUGAAAAUAUUCAGAGGAUGCUGAGGUUUUUCUGCACCUGACUGUACUUUUCAUCGUCUCUGUCUCUGGGCUCUUAUUAAUGUUUGAAUAAAUGUUGUUAUUGUCACUACUGUA